AUUGAACGCUGGCGGAAUGCUUUACACAUGCAAGUCGAACGGCAGCACGGACUUCGGUCUGGUGGCGAGUGGCGAACGGGUGAGUAAUGUAUCGUAACGUGCCCAGUCGUGGGGGAUAAGGUAGUGAAAAUUACGCUAAUCCCGCAUACGAUCUAUGGAUGAAAGCGGAGGCUCGCAAGACUUCGCGCGAUUGGAACUGCCGAUAUCAGAUUAGGCAGUUGGUGGGGUAAAGGCCCACCAAGCCAACGAUCUGUAGCUGGUCUGAGAGGAAGACCAGAGACGCUGGAACUGAGUCACGGUCCAGACUCAUACGGGAGGCAGCAGAGGGGAAAUGUGGACAAUGGGCGAAAGCCAGAUCCAGCCAUUCCGAGUGCAGGAUGAAGGCCUUCGGGUUGUAAACUGCUUAUGUACAGAACGAAAAGGUUUCUACUAAUACUAGGAGCUCAUGACGGUACUGUAAGAAUAAGCACCGGCUAACUACGUGCCAGCAGCCGCCGUAA
Molecule: ribosomal RNA, 500 nt
Filed under: uncultured bacterium
Lineage: Bacteria
Description: partial 16S ribosomal RNA
Rfam family: Bacterial small subunit ribosomal RNA
Source: RNAcentral